CAGAGAGAAGAGUGAAUGGUUUCUCUGACUGGACUCAGGGCUUUCCAGAGAAAGAAGUCUGGUCCAGGGCAAAGGGGCAUUGUUCCCUGAUGACUGUUGGAAAGUGGAGUGCUCUGGAAGGAAGGGGUCUGCAGCUACCUGAAGGUGGUGGUGUGGACAGAGUCACCUCGGGAGGUAAAGCUUCACUUGAUGGAUUUGGAGGGCUGCAAUUGAGCCUGUUAGCACCAGAUCAUUCUGAAUGUGGGGUGAAAUCACCAGCGUUCUCGGCAGGGGAGAGACUCUAUCCCCUACCCAACACAUCAUCUUAAAUGACCAAGUUCAAGGGCUAGGAUGCCUUCCAAGAGAGAACCUUGGCUCAGUCGUUCCAGUGCCUGCCUCGCAAGGACAAGGUCCCGAGUCUGAUCCCUGGUACAAAAAAAGAAGAGAGAGAGAGAGAACCUCAGGGAAGAGGUAGAAGGGAGGACAAGGAGGGAUCGAACUCAGGUCCUUGCGUUUGUGAGGCAGGCGGUGGAACCACUGAGCUAAAUCCCAG
This is a non-coding RNA of Heterocephalus glaber (naked mole-rat), 532 nucleotides long. Lineage: Eukaryota; Metazoa; Chordata; Mammalia; Rodentia; Bathyergidae. The record is from RefSeq and is a predicted model, not a curated record.